This 444-nucleotide ribosomal RNA is filed under the name uncultured bacterium. Its description in RNAcentral is "partial 16S ribosomal RNA". It matches the Rfam family "Bacterial small subunit ribosomal RNA", at positions 338 to 795 of the family's 1533-position model. The record is from RNAcentral.
CCUACGGGAGGCAGCAGUGAGGAAUAUUGGUCAAUGGGCGCAAGCCUGACCCAGCAACGCCGCGUGAAGGAAGAAGGCCCUCGGGUUGUAAACUUCUUUUAUUCGGGACGCAACUAAUGACGGUACUAACGGAAUAAGCCCCGGCUAACUACGCGCCAGCAGCCGCGGGAAUACGUCGGGGGCAAGCGUUGUUCGGGAUGACUGGGCGUAAAGGGUGUGGAGGUGGUUUGAUAAGUUAGAGUGGUAAUACCCAGGGCUUAACGCGGGUGCUGCAUCUAAAACUGUUAGACUAGAGUACUGGAGAGGAUAGUGGAAUUCCUAGUGUAGCGGUGGAAUGCGUAGAUAUUAGGAGGAACAGCAGUGGCGAAGGCGACUAUCUGGACAGCAACUGACACUGAGGCACGAAAGCGUGGGGAGCAAACAGGAUUAGAUACCCUAGUAGUC